This 72-nucleotide transfer RNA is filed under the name Candidatus Margulisiibacteriota bacterium. RNAcentral's name for it is "tRNA-Val". It matches the Rfam family "tRNA". Rfam says of the family: Transfer RNA (tRNA) molecules are approximately 80 nucleotides in length. Their secondary structure includes four short double-helical elements and three loops (D, anti-codon, and T loops). The record is from RNAcentral. Lineage: Bacteria; Bacillati; Candidatus Margulisiibacteriota.
GGGCGGCUAACUCAGCGGUAGAGUACUUCCCUCACACGGAAGGAGCCAUAGGUUCGAACCCUGUGCCGCCCA